GAUGAACGCUGGCGGCGUGCUUAACACAUGCAAGUCGAACGAUGAAGCCCAGCUUGCUGGGUGGCUUAGUGGCGAACGGGUGAGUAACACGUGAGUAACCUGCCCUUAAUCCUGGGAUAAGCCUGGGAAACUAGGUCUACUACCGGAUAGGAGCGCCUACCGCAUGGUGGGUGUUGGCAAAAUUUAUCGGUUUUGGAUGGACUCGCGGCUUGUCAGCUUGUUGGUGAGGUAAUGGCUCACCAGGGCGACGACGGGUAGCCGGCCUGAGAGGGUGACCGGCCACACUGGGACUGAGACGCGGCCCAGACUACUACGGGAGGCAGCAGUGGGGAAGAGUGCACAAGGGGCGAAAGCCUGAUGCAGCGACGCCGCGUGAGGGAUGACGGCCUUCGGGUAGGAAACCACUUUCAGUAGAGAAGAAGCGAAAGUGACGGUACCUGCAGAAGAAGCACCGGCUAACUACGUG
RNAcentral lists this ribosomal RNA (466 nucleotides) under uncultured bacterium. RNAcentral's name for it is "partial 16S ribosomal RNA". It matches the Rfam family "Bacterial small subunit ribosomal RNA", at positions 28 to 507 of the family's 1533-position model. The record is from RNAcentral.